ACCAUAAGAUCAGGACACAUAUCAAGUAAGUUAAUUAGUUAUUCCAUAGUCAAGUCUAGCUUCUUCAUUAUAGUAAUGCUCACUGUGUUUGGUUCUUGAUCACCAACAAAUUGUUGGCAACAAUAGGCAAAGUGGAACUGUCAGCGACUGCUUCGGUUCCAACCAAGUUCAAAGGUUGUGUGGGUAAAGAGAAAUUGUAAUAGAGUGGCGCACGUAGUUGUUCGUCAAUCCUAUUAGUCGGCUAUCUCUGUAUUUGAAGAUAACCCUCCAGCCUGGUUAGUGGGUGAUUUGAACGAUUUAUGUUAAUGAUUAAUCAUUAAUAAGAA
This 326-nucleotide long non-coding RNA is filed under the name Linum usitatissimum (flax). RNAcentral's name for it is "long non-coding RNA (LUSI_LNC006015)". The record is from RNAcentral. Lineage: Eukaryota; Viridiplantae; Streptophyta; Magnoliopsida; Malpighiales; Linaceae.